CCUACGGGAGGCUGCAGUGGGGAAUAUUGGACAAUGGGGGCAACCCUGAUCCAGCCAUGCCGCGUGUGUGAAGAAGGCCCUCGGGUUGUAAAGCACUUUCAGUGAGGAAGAACGCCUGGUGGUUAAUACCCAUCAGGAAAGACAUCACUCACAGAAGAAGCACCGGCUAACUCCGUGCCAGCAGCCGCGGUAAUACGGAGGGUGCGAGCGUUAAUCGGAAUUACUGGGCGUAAAGCGCGCGUAGGUGGCUUGAUAAGCCGGUUGUGAAAGCCCCGGGCUCAACCCGGGAACGGCAUCCGGAACUGUCAAGCUAGAGUGCAGGAGAGGAAGGUAGAAUUCCCGGUGUAGCGGUGAAAUGCGUAGAGAUCGGGAGGAAUACCAGUGGCGAAGGCGGCCUUCUGGACUGACACUGACACUGAGGUGCGAAAGCGUGGGUAGCAAACAGGAUUAGAUACCCUGGUAGUC
This 465-nucleotide ribosomal RNA is filed under the name Vreelandella stevensii. RNAcentral's name for it is "partial 16S ribosomal RNA". It matches the Rfam family "Bacterial small subunit ribosomal RNA", at positions 338 to 795 of the family's 1533-position model. Lineage: Bacteria; Pseudomonadati; Pseudomonadota; Gammaproteobacteria; Oceanospirillales; Halomonadaceae. The record is from RNAcentral.